UUUUAUGGUGAUCGUACGUGGGGCGCUUCGGCGCGCCGGGUGCUGACUUCUCGGUCGACUAACCCGCGUACGGUCGCCUCCCAU
RNAcentral lists this non-coding RNA (84 nucleotides) under Pseudomonas sp. M47T1. The record is from RNAcentral. Lineage: Bacteria; Pseudomonadati; Pseudomonadota; Gammaproteobacteria; Pseudomonadales; Pseudomonadaceae.